This 440-nucleotide ribosomal RNA is filed under the name uncultured bacterium. RNAcentral describes it as "partial 16S ribosomal RNA". It matches the Rfam family "Bacterial small subunit ribosomal RNA", at positions 338 to 795 of the family's 1533-position model. The record is from RNAcentral.
CCUACGGGAGGUAGCAGUGGGGAAUAUUGCACAAUGGGGGAAACCCUGAUGCAGCGACGCCGCGUGAGUGAAGAAGUAAUUCGUUACGUAAAGCUCUAUCAGCAGGGAAGAAAAUGACGGUACUUGAGUAAGAAGCCCCGGCUAACUACGUGCCAGCAGCCGCGGUAAUAAGUCGGGGGCAAGCGUUAUCCGGAUUUACUGGGUGGAAAGGGAGCGUAGACGGUGAGCCAAGUCUGGAGUGAAAUGCCGCGGCUUAACUGCGGGACUGCUUUGGAAACUGGAGAACUAGAGUGCGGGAGGGGUAAGCGGAAUUCCUAGUGUAGCGGUGAAAUGCGUAGAUAUUAGGAGGAACACCGGUGGCGAAGGCGGCUUACUGGACCGUAACUGACGUUGAGGCUCGAAAGCGUGGGGAGCAAACAGGAUUAGAUACCCGGGUAGUU